Oncorhynchus keta (chum salmon) is the source of this 2153-nucleotide long non-coding RNA. RefSeq lists it as uncharacterized. The record is from RefSeq and is a predicted model, not a curated record. The transcript has 5 exons. NCBI's taxonomy places the organism in Eukaryota, Metazoa, Chordata, Actinopteri, Salmoniformes, Salmonidae.
CAAAUAGUUGUCCUAUAAUAGUCUGUUAUUUCCAACGAAGAAGAAGAACAGAGGCCCUUAUCAAAAAGGACAGACAGGAAGACCAUGUUCCAUGGAAGAGAAGUAAAGGGGUCCAACUCUUUCACCCUUUGAAUACGUCUUGAAUAGGAUCAUCUUUGAAUCUACGUCUAUUCAAAAGAAGAAUGGAAAAAUGAGCAUGACAGUUUUGUCAGUUCUAUCACUGAUCAGCAGAUAGAUGAGGAUUUCUCCGUCUACCUUACAUGGGAGAUCCUUGAGUACAUGCUCAAGAAGUUAUAUUAUUAUAUGACAGUUCAUCUCACAAACGACAGGUCAACGAGACUCCUAUCUUGUUGUUUUGUUUAGUUUUUUUGUAAAUCUGUUGAGUUAUUCCUCAGGGGUUCCAGAAGAUCUCCCUUCUCUGUGUUACCUAUUCCAAGGAAGGAGUGUCUACUCUGGGUGAAUGUGUUCUAAUAGCAGGUAGGAGUGUCUACUCUGGGUGGAGCUCUAAUAGCAGGUAGGAGUGUCUACUCUGGGUGAAUGUGUUCUAAUAGCAGGUAGGAGUGUCUACUCUGGGUGAAUGUGUUCUAAUAGCAGGUAGGAGUGUCUACUCUGGGUGAAUGUGUUCUAAUAGCAGGAAGGAGUGUCUACUCUGGGUGAAUGUGUUCUAAUAGCAGGUAGGAGUGUCUACUCUGGGUGAAUGUGUUCUAAUAGCAGGUAGGAGUGUCUACUCUGGGUGAAUGUGUUCUAAUAGCAGGUAGGAGUGUCUACUCUGGGUGAAUGUGUUCUAAUAGCAGGUAGGAGUGUCUACUCUGGGUGAAUGUGUUCUAAUAGCAGGAAGGAGUGUCUACUCUGGGUGAAUGUGUUCUAAUAGCAGGUAGGAGUGUCUACUCUGGGUGAAUGUGUUCUAAUAGCAGGUAGGAGUGUCUACUCUGGGUGAAUGUGUUCUAAUAGCAGGUAGGAGUGUCUACUCUGGGUGAAUGUGUUCUAAUAGCAGGUAGGAGUGUCUACUCUGGGUGAAUGUGUUCUAAUAGCAGGUAGGAGUGUCUACUCUGGGUGAAUGUGUUCUAAUAGCAGGUAGGAGUGUCUACUCUGGGUGGAGCUCUAAUAGCAGGUAGGAGUGUCUACUCUGGGUGAAUGUGUUCUAAUAGCAGGUAGGAGUGUCUACUCUGGGUGGAGCUCUAAUAGCAGGUAGGAGUGUCUACUCUGGGUGAAUGUGUUCUAAUAGCAGGUAGGAGUGUCUACUCUGGGUGAAUGUGUUCUAAUAGCAGGUAGGAGUGUCUACUCUGGGUGAAUGUGUUCUAAUAGCAGGUAGGAGUGUCUACUCUGGGUGAAUGUGUUCUAAUAGCAGGUAGGAGUGUCUACUCUGGGUGAAUGUGUUCUAAUAGCAGGUAGGAGUGUCUACUCUGGGUGAAUGUGUUCUAAUAGCAGGUAGGAGUGUCUACUCUGGGUGAAUGUGUUCUAAUAGCAGGUAGGAGUGUCUACUCUGGGUGAAUGUGUUCUAAUAGCAGGUAGGAGUGUCUACUCUGGGUGAAUGUGUUCUAAUAGCAGGUAGGAGUGUCUACACUGGGUGAAUGUGUUCUCAUAGCAGGUAGGAGUGUCUACUCUGGGUGGAGCUCUAAUAGCAGGUAGGAGUGUCUACACUGGGUGAAUGUGUUCUAAUAGCAGGUAGGAGUGUCUACUCUGGGUGAAUGUGUUCUAAUAGCAGGUAGGAGUGUCUACUCUGGGUGGAGCUCUAAUAGCAGGUAGGACUGUCUAGUCUGGGUGAAUGUGUGGAGCUCUAAAUUCUGUUCUACCUUUGUCUCUGUCUCUCCCUCUGUCUCCCCCUGUCUCUCUCUCUCGUUCUUGUCUCUCCCUGUCUCUCCUUGUCUCUCCCUCUCCCUCUCUCUGUCUCUUCCUCUCUCUAUUGUCUCUCCCUAGAACAGUAAAAAUCCUUUAAUAUUCAGAAUCUAACUGUCCACAUCACCAUUAGUCAGGAGCCACAUCACCUAGCCAGCAGCCUCCACCACUCUGGAGCAGCCUUCUCACUGUGGCAAAUGGUUGACUCCACAAUACAAGUUACUCAAUAGCUACACUACCAAGUUAUCUCCCUGUAGUUUUCGUGAACAUUUCAUUCAAUUUACUCUACAAGAAUCGAGGCACUUCUCAACUCACAC